GACAGAGGGUGCGAACGUUGUUCGGAAUUAUUGGGCGUAAAGAGCUCGUAGGCGGUCUGUCGCGUCUGCUGUGAAAACUCAGGGCUUAACCCUGAGCUUGCAGUGGGUACGGGCAGACUAGAGUGCGGUAGGGGAGACUGGAAUUCCUGGUGUAGCGGUGAAAUGCGCAGAUAUCAGGAGGAACACCGGUGGCGAAGGCGGGUCUCUGGGCCGUAACUGACGCUGAGGGACGAAAGCUAGGGGGGCGAAUGGG
Molecule: ribosomal RNA, 253 nt
Filed under: uncultured bacterium
Lineage: Bacteria
Description: partial 16S ribosomal RNA
Rfam family: Bacterial small subunit ribosomal RNA
Source: RNAcentral